UAAAAGUCGUAACAAGGCAUAUCAAUAAGGGGAGGAACUGGAAUCCAAGCUACCAAGCCAUGGAUGAAAAUCCAUGGUGGCCAGGUUAACGACCUCGGGUACGGUAACAACGCUGGAGAUGCUACAAUGGAUAAUCCGCAGCCAAGUCCUCAGCUUGCUUGCUCAAGUAUGGAUGCUGUUCACAGACUCAAUGGUGGUGGGUGGACCGGUUCACGGAACCGGCCUGCUUAAGAUAGAGUCGGGCCCCCACAGGAAACUUGGGGGGCAGUCACUUGAGUGAUACCAAAUGUUCCGUAGGUGAACCUGCGGAAGGAUCAUUA
This 320-nucleotide ribosomal RNA is filed under the name Cyphellophoriella pruni. Its description in RNAcentral is "partial 18S ribosomal RNA". The stretch from base 1 to 263 matches the Rfam family "Group I catalytic intron", at positions 76 to 253 of the family's 253-position model. From Rfam's summary of the family: Group I catalytic introns are large self-splicing ribozymes. The record is from RNAcentral. Lineage: Eukaryota; Fungi; Ascomycota; Eurotiomycetes; Chaetothyriales.